UGAUGUUUAAGACUGUAAUUUAAUUACGUUUUUCUUCUCGAAGGACUUGGGCUUGAUAAUAGGGUAUAAUGACAUUUUUCUCAUUGGUAAUUUGAGUAAUUUUUUGUUGUAGUCUUUGUAGAAUUGUAGGCUGUGUAAAAUGGAGCUGCUAAUUGAGAGAGCAGGUCACCCUAAAAUUGAUGAUGGAAUAACAGUGUUAUUGGUUGCAUCUUUUAAUCAGUGAGUCAAGUGAAGUAAAAAGAUUGCAGAUUUAUCAUAAGUUACAUGUUUAUGAUUUAUGAGGUUGAAGAGUAUCUUGUGGGAAGUGCAAAUAGCUUGUGCUCUUGGGCAUACUCUAGCCUGUAACGGUUGCUGUAGAGCUAUUGAUUUUGCUGGGUUAAAAUUAGUAAUGUCUUGACACCCAUGUGCACGGAUUUGCAUAUGAAAUUUAGUUUAAGUUCCUGUGUGUUUAAUUAGUAUUUUCAGUUAGAGUGCACUUUUUUGCAUAUCUGGUUUUAUUCAACCUUCAUAGCUGACUUUAUAUUUGUAUCUGUUAUUAACUUGUUGUCCUGGGGACAUUUACAGCGUGAGUUGGUUCUUUACUCACAAGUUACAAAACAUAAGAGAUCAUGUUGCUAUGUCUUUAGUAGUUCAUAGUUUUUUCAUCCAUGCCGAUGAUAGUUGAGAAUCAGCUACCGCGUCCCUUAACGAGAACACAAAAGGAAAUAGAUCAAGUAGUGAUGCAAUCCAAAGAUUGAAACUGACUCUAAAUUGAUGAUGAUUGCUCAACCUCACAUGACCAUUAUAGUCACAAGAUUUGAGAAGAAGCAAUUUUCUGGCAAGCAAUUUCUGAUAGAACUUCUGGCACAUCACAUAAUAUUUUGGAUGAUGGUGGAUAGAGAUCAAGAUAAGAGAAAAAGGUCAAAUGACAAGCAGUCUAAACUGAAUGUACAUGCAAGUGGAACAUAAUUGAAUGCAAGAUGUUUCUGGGGAAAUGGCUCUGGUCUCUAUUGUGGCAGAAAGUUUCUUUCUGUUGUGUGAUGGGAGGAAUUCUUUGCUAACAUAGUUGUACGUUUGUUGUGAGAGUAAACUGUACAAUGGGAAGAAUGUUUCUUGCAUUUACUUGAUUAUUAUUAUUUGCAAUCCAGUUUAUUAACACUCUUGGAAGAAUGGAAUUAAGGCACUCCUUGUUGUAAGUUGCAAGUUGCAAGUUGUAACCAUAAAAGGGAUACUAGGGUAUCACCUGUAUUUAUACAGCUGAUGUAUCACCUGUUUUGUUGCUACCUGGUUAUGCUUUUAUUUUCUUGUAUUUGGUUGGGGUAUCCCUUAUACCCCCUUUAAUAUAUAUGGUGUUG
This is a long non-coding RNA of Glycine soja, 1334 nucleotides long. RefSeq lists it as uncharacterized. The transcript has 3 exons. The record is from RefSeq and is a predicted model, not a curated record. NCBI's taxonomy places the organism in Eukaryota, Viridiplantae, Streptophyta, Magnoliopsida, Fabales, Fabaceae.